RNAcentral lists this ribosomal RNA (446 nucleotides) under uncultured bacterium. RNAcentral's name for it is "partial 16S ribosomal RNA". It matches the Rfam family "Bacterial small subunit ribosomal RNA", at positions 29 to 523 of the family's 1533-position model. The record is from RNAcentral.
AACGAACGCUGGCGGCAGGCUUAACACAUGCAAGUCGAGCGCCCCGCAAGGGGAGCGGCAGACGGGUGAGUAACACGUGGGAAUCUACCCAUCCCUACGGAACAACUCCGGGAAACUGGAGCUAAUACCGUAUACGCCCUUUGGGGGAAAGAUUUAUCGGGGAUGGAUGAGCCCGCGUUGGAUUAGCUAGUUGGUGGGGUAAAGGCCUACCAAGGCGACGAUCCAUAGCUGGUCUGAGAGGAUGAUCAGCCACAUUGGGACUGAGACACGGCCCAAACUCCUACGGGAGGCAGCAGUGGGGAAUAUUGGACAAUGGCGCAAGCCUGAUCCAGCCAUGCCGCGUGAGUGAUGAAGGCCUUAGGGUUGUAAAGCUCUUUCGCCGGCGAGGAUAAUGACGGUAGUCGGAGAAGAAGCCCCGGCUAACUUCGUGCCAGCCGCCGCCGUAA